Molecule: ribosomal RNA, 1065 nt
Filed under: Escherichia coli
Lineage: Bacteria; Pseudomonadati; Pseudomonadota; Gammaproteobacteria; Enterobacterales; Enterobacteriaceae
Description: bacterial LSU rRNA
Rfam family: Bacterial large subunit ribosomal RNA
Source: RNAcentral
CAUAGGUUAAUGAGGCGAACCGGGGGAACUGAAACAUCUAAGUACCCCGAGGAAAAGAAAUCAACCGAGAUUCCCCCAGUAGCGGCGAGCGAACGGGGAGCAGCCCAGAGCCUGAAUCAGUGUGUGUGUUAGUGGAAGCGUCUGGAAAGGCGCGCGAUACAGGGUGACAGCCCCGUACACAAAAAUGCACAUGCUGUGAGCUCGAUGAGUAGGGCGGGACACGUGGUAUCCUGUCUGAAUAUGGGGGGACCAUCCUCCAAGGCUAAAUACUCCUGACUGACCGAUAGUGAACCAGUACCGUGAGGGAAAGGCGAAAAGAACCCCGGCGAGGGGAGUGAAAAAGAACCUGAAACCGUGUACGUACAAGCAGUGGGAGCACGCUUAGGCGUGUGACUGCGUACCUUUUGUAUAAUGGGUCAGCGACUUAUAUUCUGUAGCAAGGUUAACCGAAUAGGGGAGCCGAAGGGAAACCGAGUCUUAACUGGGCGUUAAGUUGCAGGGUAUAGACCCGAAACCCGGUGAUCUAGCCAUGGGCAGGUUGAAGGUUGGGUAACACUAACUGGAGGACCGAACCGACUAAUGUUGAAAAAUUAGCGGAUGACUUGUGGCUGGGGGUGAAAGGCCAAUCAAACCGGGAGAUAGCUGGUUCUCCCCGAAAGCUAUUUAGGUAGCGCCUCGUGAAUUCAUCUCCGGGGGUAGAGCACUGUUUCGGCAAGGGGGUCAUCCCGACUUACCAACCCGAUGCAAACUGCGAAUACCGGAGAAUGUUAUCACGGGAGACACACGGCGGGUGCUAACGUCCGUCGUGAAGAGGGAAACAACCCAGACCGCCAGCUAAGGUCCCAAAGUCAUGGUUAAGUGGGAAACGAUGUGGGAAGGCCCAGACAGCCAGGAUGUUGGCUUAGAAGCAGCCAUCAUUUAAAGAAAGCGUAAUAGCUCACUGGUCGAGUCGGCCUGCGCGGAAGAUGUAACGGGGCUAAACCAUGCACCGAAGCUGCGGCAGCGACGCUUAUGCGUUGUUGGGUAGGGGAGCGUUCUGUAAGCCUGUGAAGGUGUACUGUGAGG